RNAcentral lists this long non-coding RNA (775 nucleotides) under Sus scrofa (pig). Its description in RNAcentral is "lncRNA (ENSSSCG00025021292.1)". Lineage: Eukaryota; Metazoa; Chordata; Mammalia; Artiodactyla; Suidae. The record is from RNAcentral.
GCGGAAGCCGGCUGCGAGGCUGCGGCGCCGAGCGCGGGCCAUGGCGUGGAUGCUGGACUGCCUGUUCGCGUCGGCCUUCGAGCCCCGCCCCCGGCGCGUCAUGUGAGCAUUUCUAAGGCAGGUGUUAACAUCGCCAAUCUACAGAUGAGAAAACUGAGGUUCAGAGAGAUGAAGUAACCUUCCCAAGAUCACACAGCAAAACCGCAUCUUUGGAGCCACAACCCCGGAGCUUUUGGCUUCUUCGAAGUUGAAGUUUGCCCAUUUCACAGCACCAGCUUAAGGAGAGCUCCCAGAACUGGAGCUGGUGAGGUGCUUAUGAGCCUAGAGUAAUUAAAGAUUUUGAGGUGUCAACAAAGCAGGUAAUUAGGUGGAGAAGAUAUCAACUGUCUGAGAGACAAAGAAAGUAAUUACGCUGAGCACUCUUGGUGCUGUCAGUAAACCCAAAAGAAAGAUUCGUUGGGAAAUGAUACUGUUUGAUAGAGAACUGUAAUGCCUAGCAGAAACGAAGGACUCUUGGUGAGGCCACCUGGUACAGAAGAAAAGAUUCAGGGAGCUUGGCAAACCUGGGUUUCAGAUACCAGUUCUGCCUGCUACUGGCUGUGUGACCUUGGAAAAGUUACUUAACUACUCUGAGUCUGAUGUGUGAUGUGCAAAAUGGUGAUAGUCAUAGCUCCAUCUUCAUCAUAGAGCCAUGGGGAACUUCAGGAACUCAUGCAUGUAAGAGCACUGGCAUGAUGCCUGGUAUACAAUAAGUGCUUAAUAAAUGGUAACACUA